ACAGCAGUCGCCGCGGUAACACGGAGGGUGCAAGCGUUAUCCGGAUUUAUUGGGUUUAAAGGGUCCGUAGGCGGAUCUGUAAGUCAGUGGUGAAAUCUCACAGCUUAACUGUGAAACUGCCAUUGAUACUGCAGGUCUUGAGUAAAUUUGAAGUGGCUGGAAUAAGUAGUGUAGCGGUGAAAUGCAUAGAUAUUACUUAGAACACCAAUUGCGAAGGCAGGUCACUAAGAUUUAACUGACGCUGAUGGACGAAAGCGUGGGGAGCGAACAGGAUUAGAGACCCCGGUAGUCCCUGUCUCUUAUAC
This 305-nucleotide ribosomal RNA is filed under the name uncultured bacterium. RNAcentral describes it as "partial 16S ribosomal RNA". It matches the Rfam family "Bacterial small subunit ribosomal RNA", at positions 508 to 807 of the family's 1533-position model. The record is from RNAcentral.